This is a long non-coding RNA of Dermochelys coriacea (leatherback sea turtle), 949 nucleotides long. RefSeq lists it as uncharacterized. The transcript has 3 exons. Lineage: Eukaryota; Metazoa; Chordata; Testudines; Dermochelyidae. The record is from RefSeq and is a predicted model, not a curated record.
GAGAAGAGCCCUGAGGCACACAAGGCUGGGGGCCAGAACAAGCUUGAGACAGACCCAACAGCCAAAACAAGCAGAAAGUGAGAUCCUGAGUCCUCCAGAGCCUGCAAAGGGUAACCCACUCUCUCCUGCAGCUAUCUACUAACAGGUACCUCGACAUCCUGAACACUGGAUAAAGAAGUUGAUUAAAUCCAGAAGUGCUAUAUCCCUGUCUUGUUUAUAUGAUUCAAUCCAGUCGUCCACCACAGACUGUCAAGAAAAAGAAAAAACAUAUCAGAUACUCUUAAAAAGAUUUACAAAUGCAAAUGACUUUUCAGAACAAUCUUUUCAGACAGUAAUUUUAUAACUGAGAAUGUACUUCCCACAACUGUGUGAGUACAAAUUCAGAAAUCAAAAUGCCUUCCUUAGCCGGUGGAGACAUAAUAAAUACUGCUAGAGCCCAGGUCUACAUGCAUUGUUUUCUAGUGUUAUAGUAGGGUAAAUAGUUAGCUGUUCAAAGGCAAAAUAAUUAAAAAAACAAAACUGUGCUUGAGGUAUUUAUUCAAUCUAACAAGUUUGUUGAACAGAAACAUUCUGUCUUAUUUCAGAACUCCACCAAGAAAACAUUCAGCAGGGUAACACUCUCUGGGGAUAAGCAUCUCAUUUAUUUUGCAAGAUGGAAGCCUUCUAAUGUUGAUAAUGGUCAAUGAGCCAUGGGUCACAAUUUUAGAAUACAGUACAUGAUUUGAUUAAACAGUUGGUGAUGGGAAACAUUCUAAACUAAAAAAUAAUAGGUGGAACUUCUUUAUGCUGAUUGUGGCUGACAACCAAAGAGCCACCUAUAGCAUUGCAACAAAAAACUGAGCCAUGGUCUCACAGAACUCAAGUGGGGACCACAGUAUUGGGGAAACAUUUACAUUACUCAUAACAAGGUGUACAAAGUCUGCCAUCAACAGUUAUGAUAGCAGGGAGG